CCUACGGGGUGCUGCAGUGGGGAAUAUUGCACAAUGGGCGCAAGCCUGAUGCAGCCAUGCCGCGUGUGUGAAGAAGGCCUUCGGGUUGUAAAGCACUUUCAGCGGGGAGGAAGGCGGUGAGGUUAAUAACCUCAUCGAUUGACGUUACCCGCAGAAGAAGCACCGGCUAACUCCGUGCCAGCAGCCGCGGUAAUACGGAGGGUGCAAGCGUUAAUCGGAAUUACUGGGCGUAAAGCGCACGCAGGCGGUCUGUCAAGUCGGAUGUGAAAGCCCCGGGCUCAACCUGGGAACUGCAUUCGAAACUGGCAGGCUAGAGUCUUGUAGAGGGGGGUAGAAUUCCAGGUGUAGCGGUGAAAUGCGUAGAGAUCUGGAGGAAUACCGGUGGCGAAGGCGGCCCCCUGGACAAAGACUGACGCUCAGGUGCGAAAGCGUGGGGAGCAAACAGGAUGAGAUACCCGAGUAGUC
Molecule: ribosomal RNA, 465 nt
Filed under: uncultured Klebsiella sp.
Lineage: Bacteria; Pseudomonadati; Pseudomonadota; Gammaproteobacteria; Enterobacterales; Enterobacteriaceae
Description: bacterial SSU rRNA
Rfam family: Bacterial small subunit ribosomal RNA
Source: RNAcentral